RNAcentral lists this long non-coding RNA (2663 nucleotides) under Homo sapiens (human). RNAcentral's name for it is "HSALNT0215302". Lineage: Eukaryota; Metazoa; Chordata; Mammalia; Primates; Hominidae. The record is from RNAcentral.
CUCACAUGUUCUGGGGUCACCGGGAAGGUGAAGUCUGAUGGGACACUGGAGCAUGACUGUGACCCGAGGAGGGAAGUGCAACGUGUGUGUCUCUGUCCCUUGCUGCUCCUUGACACAGUGUUCAAGAUGCUCUAUGAACCCACGAUGCGUCAGUGAUCGGUAAGACUCAAAGUGAGCACAAGUGGUGCAGAUGCUGGAAGUCCUUUGAAGAAGUGAUCCACAAUGGAAUGAGUGUCUGGGACUUAGGCAGUAAGGUCCUUGGUUCUGGAAGAUUUCAAACAGCAAUUAGAAGAUGUCUAUAAGAGAUGCGGUAGAAGAUUCCUGACAUGCGUACAGUGAUCCUCAAGACUCCCUUUAAAGCUAAUAAUUCCAUAACUUUUAGUGGGGGAGUGACAGGUCCACAUUCCCUUCUCUGAUACCACUGGGACCAGAUUAUUCCAGAAUUCAGGACUUUCAUAUCUUAUAAUGUAUGCAUAUAACUUGCAUUAUGUAACACCCCUAGGGGAGUUUGGAAAGCACCCCAAAGCCCAACACACUAGUAUCUCUGGAGAAAACCAUAAGCAGGUGACAAACACAAACCAUGAAAAGCCUCAUGUUAGGUUUAGCUGGGAAACAAACUCAGGGAGGUCAGAUUGUCCCACCAAAUAUGGGAAGUCUUUUGGAAUUUGAAGCUUUUGGACUUUCAGAUAAGGGAUUAUGGAUCUGUUUGUGAACUCUUAAGUCAUUUCACAGAUUGGAAAAAAACAAAACAAAAAUCCCAAACAAUGUAUACAUGGAGGCACCUGAGAUGUCUUUAAAUUUCAUGAUGGGAAGAAAGAAACCAACACUUGUACACUGGUUUAGACCUGAUGAAAGUGCUUGGGGCUCCACUGUCUAUUAGACACUCACCGUGACCUUAUGAACGAAGACGCAUCAUCUCCAUCCUUUGGGGACAGGGAAACUGAAGCUUCCACAGAGCCGGCAUCACAUAGUACAUGCUAGUGCCUGUGUGAGAACACACAGAUUUGGGACUCCAAAUAUCAGGCUUUUUCUAUAACCUCAAAAACCUCCUAAAUGGUGCCCAGUGAAUGUAUUUCAGGCAGUGCUGCCAUUCAGAGGGAUGCCCCCAUCUAGCUGUACUGAAUGUUGGAGUUCUUCCUUUUAGGUGAUAUAUCACCAAGGCCCUAAGUCUGUGGAGGCCUCUAGCCUUAUCCUGCUGCCCCAGAGUGCCCCAGACUCUCCCAAAGUGUAGUAACUGUGCAAAGGGCAGACGCCUGGCAGAACAGGGACCCCAGGGGCUGGAGACUGUACCCUAUUGUAGCUACAUAUUUGGAACAUCACACCUACUAGAAUUGUGCUAAGAUACUGACCAGUCCUUGAGUAUGUUGCCUUCCACCAAGAAGAGAGCACUCCCCUCCCCCAGAGAUGUUCUAUGUGUGUUUAGCUGGGAAGCUCUGCACAGCUGCACGCUGGUAUAUCCAUGCUUGCCUGAGAAUCACAGCUGCCUGGAGCUCUUGGGAAACACAGACUCCUGGGCCCCAUCCUGACCUAUUACAGAAUCAGAAUCUCCUGACACAGGCGCAGGUGUUUUGUGCACAAACGUUCCAGCUGAGUGCCGCCUAGAGUUGGGCAAGUUUGGAGAUCACCGUGGCACUCCAUUUACUUUGGUUCUAGGAGACGCAUUGCACAUGUCUGUCUUGGAACUCUGCCCAGUUGCCAUGCGAGAAAUCUGGCCUGGCUUGCUGGAGGAUGAGAGACACGUGGAACUGAAAGGAACCAUUCCAAGGAAGGCCAUUCUAAAUCAGCCAGCCUCCAGUCAACCCAGCACUGGGUACAAAGGCAAAGGUGAACCCAGGUAAGGCUAGAAGUAUCUCCUAGCUGAGCCCAAUACAAACUGUCUACCUGCCAAAUGGUAAGCUAUAUAAGUGGUUGUUUAUUUAAAGUCACUAGUUUUGGAGUAGCUUAUUAUGCAGGAAAUGCUAAUAUAAUGUGCUUGUCUUUCAGUGCUGUUGUGUAAACAAAAUUAGGUAUCACACAUGAAACACCUGAAUCCAUACAUACCGAUGAACAGAACUUGUUUGGAUGGAUUGCUAACCCAGCUGCAUAUCCAUAAAUUGCAUACUUCCUGUGUGGAAGAUGUAAGCAUCAGUGUCCAUAGCGUAUAUUGAAAAAUAAAUGCAUUUCCCUAUGAAGAUAUAAUGACACCGUAGAUAGAAUGUUUAAAAGGAACCCAUAAAAUUUGCCUGUUAUCCUACUGCCUCUACCAUAAGGUUCAAAUAUCUUAGUAGGACUGACAAAAUCCUUCAAAGUCAUAUUCCAGCCUCAUCUGUCUUUUUAAACUGUUUCUACUCCUUGUUACCUCCAUUCAUAAUAAAUGACAUCUGAGACAUUCAUUAUGUAAAAUUUCCUUUUAGUUUUGGUCCUUCCUAUGGUUUGGCUGUAUCCCCACCUAAAAAAUCUCAUCUAGAAUUGUAUCUCUCAUAAUCCCCAUGUGUUGUGGGAGGGACCAGGUGGAAAGUAAUUAAAUCACAGGGGCAUGUUUUUCCCAUGCUGUUCUUGUGUUAAUGAGAAAGUCUCACGACAUCUGAUGGUUUUAUAAAGGGCAGUUUCUCUGCACAUGCUCUCUUGUCUGCCACCAUGUAAGACGUGCCUUUGUUUCUCCUUCCCCUUCGGCCAUGAUUGUG